Molecule: ribosomal RNA, 698 nt
Filed under: uncultured Cyphobasidiales
Lineage: Eukaryota; Fungi; Basidiomycota; Cystobasidiomycetes; Cyphobasidiales
Description: eukaryotic LSU rRNA
Rfam family: 5.8S ribosomal RNA (bases 171-324)
Source: RNAcentral
AGGUUUCCGUAGGUGAACCUGCGGAAGGAUCAUUAAUGAAAUCAAGGAUGCUCUUUUUAGAGAUCCGACCAUAUUCAUUUCCAACACUGUGCACAAACACAUUUUACACCUUUUUAAUACGUAAAGUAUAUAGGAAUGUUUUUGCCUCUUCAAGGAGCAUAAAUAAUCAAAACUUUCAGCAACGGAUCUCUUGGCUCUCGCAUCGAUGAAGAACGCAGCGAAAUGCGAUACGUAAUGUGAAUUGCAGAAUUCAGUGAAUCAUCGAAUCUUUGAACGCACCUUGCACUAUUUGGUAUUCCGAAGAGUAUGUCUGUUUGAGUGUCAUGAAUCUCUCAACUCCCCUAUUUUGUAAUGCAAUGGGUGUGGGCUUGGAUUAUGGUUGUUUGUAGGUUUACGAGCCUGCUCAACUAAAAUAUAUCAGCUGCUCAACUUGGAGACAGAACGGUUUGACUCGGCGUAAUAAACAUUUCGCUGAGGACGUUUAGUAUCCAAAAAAUGGCGCUUCAAAUGAAUUAUUCAAUGUAAAUUUUAGACCUCAAAUCAGAUAGGAUUACCCGCUGAACUUAAGCAUAUCAAUAAGCGGAGGAAAAGAAACUAACAAGGAUUCCCCUAGUAACGGCGAGUGAAGUGGGAAAAGCUCAACUUUGUAAUCUGACAGCUUCGUUGUCCGAGUUGUAGUCUCGAGAAGUGUUUUCCGA